CGGGUGCACUGAUCCCGCCCGGGCCUUUCCCUCUGUGAAACCCCAUGGCCUUCACUGGCUGUGGUGGGGAAACAGGACUUUUACUUUGAAAAAAUUAGAGUGCUCCAGGCAGGCCUAUGCUCGAAUACAUUAGCAUGGAAUAAUAGAAUAGGACGUGUGGUUCUAUUUUGUUGGUUUCUAGGACCGCCGUAAUGAUUAAUAGGGACAGUCGGGGGCAUCAGUAUUCAAUUGUCAGAGGUGAAAUUCUUGGAUCUAUUGAAGACUAACUACUGCGAAAGCAUUUGCCAAGGAUGUUUUCAUUGAUAAGGAACGAAAGUUAGGGGAUCGAAGACGAUCAGAUACCGUCGUAGUCUUAACUAUAAACUAUGCCGACUAGGGAUCGGACGAUGUUAUUCUUUGACGCGUUCGGCACCUUUCGAGAAAUCAAAGUGCUUGGGCUCCAGGGGGAGUAUGGUCGCAAGGCUGAAACUUAAAGAAAUUGACGGAAGGGCACCACCAGGGGUGGAACCUGCGGCUUAAUUUGACUCAACACGGGGAAACUCACCAGGUCCAGACACAGUGAGGAUUGACAGAUUGAGAGCUCUUUCUUGAUUCUGUGGGUGGUGGUGCAUGGCCGUUCUUAGUUGGUGGAGUGAUUUGUCUGCUUAAUUGCGAUAACGAACGAGACCUUAACCUGCUAAAUAGCCCGUACUGCUUUGGCAGUUCGCCGGCUUCUUAGAGGGACUAUCGG
This 730-nucleotide ribosomal RNA is filed under the name uncultured eukaryote. RNAcentral's name for it is "SSU rRNA". It matches the Rfam family "Eukaryotic small subunit ribosomal RNA", at positions 669 to 1426 of the family's 1831-position model. The record is from RNAcentral.